Long non-coding RNA from Gallus gallus (chicken), 516 nucleotides. Lineage: Eukaryota; Metazoa; Chordata; Aves; Galliformes; Phasianidae. The record is from Ensembl.
CUGUGAAGGGGGGCUGGGAGUUAAUGCUUCUGUCCCCAUGCACAGUCCUCAUCAGAGAAAUGUUGUCCGUUGGAUUAAAUCACCUGGAGCCACACUUCCUGUCAGGAUACCCCAGUACAGGAGAGCUGAAGUUUGACUUAUUUUCAACUGAAAAGAUUCACUCAGGUACAAAGGUGGAAAGAAAAAGCAACUUCCCACAUCACCGAGUCCACCCCCCCUGCUAAGGCAGGCUCCCUACAAUAGAUCACACAGGUUGUUGAUGAAGAUGUUGAACAAGACCGGACCCAUCACUGACCCCUGGGGAACACCGUGAGUUACAGGCCUCUAACCAGACUCGGCACUGCUGAUUACAACCUUCUGAGCUCUGCCAGGACAGAGCUGUUUUGCCUGUGCCCCUGUCCCACUCAGGACUCUCAGCACUGCACUGAGGCCACCACUGGUGUUUCAUUCCCAAAAGGGACACGGCACCGGGAUGGGGGGCUGCCCACAGGCACACACUGGAGAGCUGGUGUUAGU